This is a long non-coding RNA of Condylostylus longicornis, 469 nucleotides long. RefSeq lists it as uncharacterized. Lineage: Eukaryota; Metazoa; Arthropoda; Insecta; Diptera; Dolichopodidae. The record is from RefSeq and is a predicted model, not a curated record. The transcript has 2 exons.
UUUCAGAAUUCGUGGUGAAUAUUAUUUUUGUUAAUAAAUACAAAUUUUUUUAUUUGAGAUACAAUUACAAAAUGUUUAAACUAAUUAGUAUAUUGGUUUUGAUUACAUUUUUGGCUGUAGUAUUUGGUGCUCCAGCUCCUUCACCACAAAUAAUUUAUGGAUCACCAGUUGCUUAUACCGCUUACUCAACUUACGCAUAUCCAUAUGUUUAUCCAUAUUCUGGAGUCUACACAUAUUACGGUUAAAAAUAUGUCCGCAGUGAGAAAAAAAUAAAAAUUUCUUAAUUUUUACAUCUUUUUCUCUUAAUAAGAAAGUGAUAAAAAUUUCAGUUUCCUUUACAGAAAUAUUCGAAAUUAAUGAUUUAAUAUAUGAAAAAUGGUUUAUGCUGAAAUUAUUUUAAUUUACUACUUAAGAAUGUGUAUUUGAUUUUGUUUUUCUUUUUCGAAUAAAUUUUAAUUGAAAAAACUUA